Molecule: small nuclear RNA, 186 nt
Organism: Sorex fumeus (smoky shrew)
Lineage: Eukaryota; Metazoa; Chordata; Mammalia; Eulipotyphla; Soricidae
Product: U2 spliceosomal RNA
Exons: 1
Source: RefSeq, a predicted model, not a curated record
GUUACUUCUUGGCCUUUUGGUUAAGAUCGAGUGUAAUAUCUGUUCUUGUCAGUUUAACAAUUCAGCUCACCACAUCCUCUGAGCUAGAUUAUAAACUCCAUGAAGGAAGGCCUUUAUUAUUUAUUUAUGGCCACAUCUCAAGUACCAAGCAGAUUAACUAGGACACAUGCUGAAGAGAUACUUGUU